AACGAACGCUGGCGGUAUGCUUAACACAUGCAAGUCGAACGGACUUAUUAGAGCUUGCUUUAAUAAGUUAGUGGCAAACGGGUGAGUAACACGUGGGAAUCUACCCAUCAGUACGGAAUAACAUUUGGAAACAAAUGCUAAUACCGUAUAUUCUCUACGGAGGAAAGAUUUAUCGCUGAUGGAUGAGCCCGCGUUAGAUUAGGUAGUUGGUAGGGUAAUGGCCUACCAAGCCGACGAUCUAUAGCUGGUCUGAGAGGAUGAUCAGCCACACUGGGACUGAGACACGGCCCAGACUCCUACGGGAGGCAGCAGUGGGGAAUAUUGGACAAUGGGCGAAAGCCUGAUCCAGCAAUACCGCGUGAGUGAUGAAGGCCUUAGGGUUGUAAAGCUCUUUCAGGAGGGACGAAGGGUGACCGGUGAACAGCCGUGUCACUUGACGGUACCUCCACAAGAAGCACCGGCUAACUACGUGCCAGCAGCCGCGGUAAGGUAG
RNAcentral lists this ribosomal RNA (493 nucleotides) under uncultured bacterium. Its description in RNAcentral is "bacterial SSU rRNA". It matches the Rfam family "Bacterial small subunit ribosomal RNA", at positions 29 to 530 of the family's 1533-position model. The record is from RNAcentral.